UGCCCCAUGGCUUAGUUGGCUAUAGCGUCCGACUGUUAACAUGGGUUGAUGAUCGGAAGGUCGAGAGUUCGAGCCUCUCUGGGGCAG
This is a non-coding RNA of Gautieria morchelliformis, 87 nucleotides long. The record is from the annotation of a GenBank genome assembly. NCBI's taxonomy places the organism in Eukaryota, Fungi, Basidiomycota, Agaricomycetes, Gomphales, Gomphaceae.